GUGUUUCUAGGCUGAUGGAUUCUGGAAGGGAAACCCUCUGGAUCUAGGGGACAGCAGGUGCCAUCCUGGGAACUUUUCCUGGAGUUGGGGACCUGGGAGAGGCAGAAGGUGGCUUUUGCAUUCCAGAGCAGCAAACUCUCCAUGUCUGCAGGCUGGAAAUCUGACCCUGAGCUAUGGAAAUGCGCGGACUCAGAAAGCAUGCUGUGCCAAGGGGCUCUAAAAGGGGCAAACGCUGGAAAAAUUGUACUUUUCUCCCCAUGACAGCUGCCUUUUGUUUGGCAAAUAAUUUGAGGAGAGAACAAAAAAGCAGUUGUUUGCUUAGUGCCAAGCCACAAAAACAUGGAGCCUUUCUGGCCCCACUAGAAGAAAACUGUAUUUCAAGCAUUCUUGAGGAUUUGCCUGCAGACCGAAGGCACCCAGAGAGUGCCCUCUGCCCCAGAGCCCCUUCUGAGCAGGGGCCCCUCCCUCACUCAUAACUCCAUAGGGCAGGGCUUAGGAAGGCCAGAGAAACCAGCGCCAGGCUGGGCCAAGCCUAAUGGUGGCUGCCGUGGGGUGGGUGGGCUGCAAGCAGAUCGUUAAUGCAUGCGGAUGCCCUGCCGGCCACUUGCCAGUUUUCUUGGCCAGAAGAAUCUGUAAAAAGAGUACAAAACCUUGUGUUCAGAAGUUUUGGAGUUUAUAACGUAUACAGGCUCAUACACACAUGCCCAGAAAUACACAAACUGCUGUGAUACAUAUAUUUGGUGCCAAAACAAAUAGGACCUUGGCCAAAAAUCCUGUAUGUUAGCAACCGGCCAAUGUAGCAUUUAAAGUUAAAGGCCAACAGAAAACCCCAAACAGUGGUGUUUUUUUCCUAAUCUCAGAGUCACCACUCAGUAUUGUUUUUCCGUUGCAGGAUGGUUUUCUAAUGUCUUCACUUGGGAAAGAGCCUGUCUGCAGAAGGGCCUGUGUCGGGUUUGCUGUUAGGUCCCUUAUUUUGAGAGGAGAAAAUGGCUGUAUCGUUUGUGGCCGGCAUGUGUUGUGUCUGGUUCCCGUGGUUUGUUUUCGUGCUUUGAAAACGAAACUGUUCAUGGCUGUGAGAUGGAAAGCAGACCACGUUUUGUCAGUGAGGCCAUUCGUCAUGUUCCCCAGAGGGGCUGUGAACUCACAGCCUUGUGCUCUGCCAGCACGCAGACCACCCAUGUGGAGUUUGGGAGGCCAGCAGGCAGCGAGGGCCAGCCGGACUCUGCCGCCCAGCUGUCCUGAGGUCUCACCGGGCCCCCGCACCCAGCACGGGUCUGCUGUGCCAGGG
RNAcentral lists this long non-coding RNA (1288 nucleotides) under Fukomys damarensis (Damara mole-rat). Its description in RNAcentral is "lncRNA (ENSFDAG00000025448.1)". The record is from RNAcentral. Lineage: Eukaryota; Metazoa; Chordata; Mammalia; Rodentia; Bathyergidae.